UACGUAGGGUCCGAGCGUUGUCCGGAAUUAUUGGGCGUAAAGAGCUCGUAGGCGGCCACUCAAGUCGAAUGUGAAACCUCGAGGCUUAACCUCGAGCCUGCAUUCGAUACUGGGCGGCUAGAGUCUGGUAGGGGGAUCUGGAAUUCCUGGUGUAGCGGUGGAAUGCGCAGAUAUCAGGAGGAACACCGGUGGCGAAGGCGGGAUCCUGGGCCAGUACUGACGCUGAGGAGCGAAAGCGUGGGGAGCAAACAGG
RNAcentral lists this ribosomal RNA (253 nucleotides) under uncultured bacterium. RNAcentral describes it as "partial 16S ribosomal RNA". It matches the Rfam family "Bacterial small subunit ribosomal RNA", at positions 524 to 776 of the family's 1533-position model. The record is from RNAcentral.